This 432-nucleotide ribosomal RNA is filed under the name uncultured bacterium. RNAcentral's name for it is "partial 16S ribosomal RNA". It matches the Rfam family "Bacterial small subunit ribosomal RNA", at positions 29 to 507 of the family's 1533-position model. The record is from RNAcentral.
AACGAACGCUGGCGGCAUGCCUAACACAUGCAAGUCGAACGAGACCUUCGGGUCUAGUGGCGCACGGGUGCGUAACGCGUGGGAACCUGCCCUUAGGUUCGGAAUAACUCCCCGAAAGGGGUGCUAAUACCGGAUAAUGUCUUCGGACCAAAGAUUUAUCGCCUUUGGAUGGGCCCGCGUUGGAUUAGCUAGUUGGUAGGGUAAAAGCCUACCAAGGCGACGAUCCAUAGCUGGUCUGAGAGGAUGAUCAGCCACACUGGGACUGAGACACGGCCCAGACUCCAACGGAAGGAGGCAGUGGGAAUAUUGGACAAUGGGCGAAAGCCUGAUCCAGCAAUGCCGCGUGAGUGAUGAAGGCCUUAGGGUUGUAAAGCUCUUUUACCCGGGAUGAUAAUGACAGUACCGGGAGAAUAAGCGCCGGCUAACUCCGUG